GCCCGGGUGGCGGAAUGGUAGACGCAGCGGACUUAAAAUCCGUUGAUCGCGAGGUCAUGUGGGUUCGAGUCCCACCCCGGGCACCA
Molecule: transfer RNA, 86 nt
Filed under: Fimbriimonadaceae bacterium
Lineage: Bacteria; Bacillati; Armatimonadota; Fimbriimonadia; Fimbriimonadales; Fimbriimonadaceae
Description: tRNA-Leu
Rfam family: tRNA
About the family: Transfer RNA (tRNA) molecules are approximately 80 nucleotides in length.
Source: RNAcentral